This 466-nucleotide ribosomal RNA is filed under the name Vreelandella stevensii. Its description in RNAcentral is "partial 16S ribosomal RNA". It matches the Rfam family "Bacterial small subunit ribosomal RNA", at positions 338 to 795 of the family's 1533-position model. The record is from RNAcentral. Lineage: Bacteria; Pseudomonadati; Pseudomonadota; Gammaproteobacteria; Oceanospirillales; Halomonadaceae.
CCUACGGGGGGGCUGCAGUGGGGAAUAUUGGACAAUGGGCGAAAGCCUGAUCCAGCCAUGCCGCGUGUGUGAAGAAGGCCUUCGGGUUGUAAAGCACUUUCAGUGGGGAAGAAAGCCUUGGGGCUAAUACCCUCGAGGAAGGACAUCACCCACAGAAGAAGCUCCGGCUAACUCCGUGCCAGCAGCCGCGGUAAUACGGAGGGUGCGAGCGUUAAUCGGAAUUACUGGGCGUAAAGCGCGCGUAGGCGGUCUGAUAAGCCGGUUGUGAAAGCCCCGGGCUCAACCUGGGAACGGCAUCCGGAACUGUCAGGCUAGAGUGCAGGAGAGGAAGGUAGAAUUCCCGGUGUAGCGGUGAAAUGCGUAGAGAUCGGGAGGAAUACCAGUGGCGAAGGCGGCCUUCUGGACUGACACUGACGCUGAGGUGCGAAAGCGUGGGUAGCAAACAGGAUUAGAUACCCGGGUAGUC